ACUCCUGCGGGAGGCAGCAGUGGGGAAUCUUGCGCAAUGGGCGAAAGCCUGACGCAGCCAUGCCGCGUGAAUGAUGAAGGUCUUAGGAUUGUAAAAUUCUUUCACCGGGGACGAUAAUGACGGUACCCGGAGAAGAAGCCCCGGCUAACUUCGUGCCAGCAGCCGCGGUAAUACGAAGGGGGCUAGCGUUGCUCGGAAUUACUGGGCGUAAAGGGAGCGUAGGCGGACAUUUAAGUCAGGGGUGAAAUCCCGGGGCUCAACCUCGGAAUUGCCUUUGAUACUGGGUGUCUUGAGUAUGAGAGAGGUGUGUGGAACUCCGAGUGUAGAGGUGAAAUUCGUAGAUAUUCGGAAGAACACCAGUGGCGAAGGCGACACACUGGCUCAUUACUGACGCUGAGGCUCGAAAGCGUGGGGAGCAAACAGGAUUAGAUACCCCUGUAGUCCCAUG
This 448-nucleotide ribosomal RNA is filed under the name uncultured organism. Its description in RNAcentral is "partial 16S ribosomal RNA". It matches the Rfam family "Bacterial small subunit ribosomal RNA", at positions 335 to 799 of the family's 1533-position model. The record is from RNAcentral.